This 1343-nucleotide ribosomal RNA is filed under the name uncultured bacterium. Its description in RNAcentral is "16S ribosomal RNA". It matches the Rfam family "Bacterial small subunit ribosomal RNA", at positions 28 to 1378 of the family's 1533-position model. The record is from RNAcentral.
GACGAACGCUGGCUGCGUGCUUAACACAUGCAAGUCGAACGGAAAGGCCCUGCUUUUGUGGGGUGCUCGAGUGGCGAACGGGUGAGUAACACGUGAGUAACCUGCCCUUGACUUUGGGAUAACUUCAGGAAACUGGGGCUAAUACCGGAUAGGAGCUCCUGCUGCAUGGUGGGGGUUGGAAAGUUUCGGCGGUUGGGGAUGGACUCGCGGCUUAUCAGCUUGUUGGUGGGGUAGUGGCUUACCAAGGCUUUGACGGGUAGCCGGCCUGAGAGGGUGACCGGCCACAUUGGGACUGAGAUACGGCCCAGACUCCUACGGGAGGCAGCAGUGGGGAAUAUUGCACAAUGGGCGGAAGCCUGAUGCAGCAACGCCGCGUGCGGGAUGACGGCCUUCGGGUUGUAAACCGCUUUCGCCUGUGACGAAGCGUGAGUGACGGUAAUGGGUAAAGAAGCACCGGCUAACUACGUGCCAGCAGCCGCGGUGAUACGUAGGGUGCGAGCGUUGUCCGGAUUUAUUGGGCGUAAAGGGCUCGUAGGUGGUUGAUCGCGUCGGAAGUGUAAUCUUGGGGCUUAACCCUGAGCGUGCUUUCGAUACGGGUUGACUUGAGGAAGGUAGGGGAGAAUGGAAUUCCUGGUGGAGCGGUGGAAUGCGCAGAUAUCAGGAGGAACACCAGUGGCGAAGGCGGUUCUCUGGGCCUUUCCUGACGCUGAGGAGCGAAAGCGUGGGGAGCGAACAGGCUUAGAUACCCUGGUAGUCCACGCUGUAAACGGUGGGUACUAGGUGUGGGGUCCACUCCACGGGUUCCGUGCCGUAGCUAACGCUUUAAGUACCCCGCCUGGGGAGUACGGCCGCAAGGCUAAAACUCAAAGGAAUUGACGGGGCCCCGCACAAGCGGCGGAGCAUGCGGAUUAAUUCGAUGCAACGCGUAGAACCUUACCUGGGUUUGACAUGGAUCGGGAGUGCUCAGAGAUGGGUGUGCCUCUUUUGGGGUCGGUUCACAGGUGGUGCAUGGCUGUCGUCAGCUCGUGUCGUGAGAUGUUGGGUUAAGUCCCGCAACGAGCGCAACCCUUGUUCACUGUUGCCAGCACGUUAUGGUGGGGACUCAGUGGAGACCGCCGGGGUCAACUCGGAGGAAGGUGGGGAUGACGUCAAGUCAUCAUGCCCCUUAUGUCCAGGGCUUCACGCAUGCUACAAUGGCUGGUACAGAGAGUGGCGAGCCUGUGAGGGUGAGCGAAUCUCGGAAAGCCGGUCUCAGUUCGGAUUGGGGUCUGCAACUCGACCUCAUGAAGUCGGAGUCGCUAGUAAUCGCAGAUCAGCAACGCUGCGGUGAAUACGUUCCCGGG